CGGGGCGUAGCUCAGCUGGCUUAGAGCACCUGCUUUAGGAGCAGGGGGUCGGAGGUUCAAAUCCUCUCGCCCCGA
RNAcentral lists this transfer RNA (75 nucleotides) under Omnitrophica bacterium RIFCSPLOWO2_01_FULL_50_24. RNAcentral describes it as "tRNA-Leu". It matches the Rfam family "tRNA". Rfam says of the family: Transfer RNA (tRNA) molecules are approximately 80 nucleotides in length. Their secondary structure includes four short double-helical elements and three loops (D, anti-codon, and T loops). Further hydrogen bonds mediate the characteristic L-shaped molecular structure. tRNAs have two regions of fundamental functional importance: the anti-codon, which is responsible for specific mRNA codon recognition, and the 3' end, to which the tRNAs corresponding amino acid is attached (by aminoacyl-tRNA synthetases). tRNAs cope with the degeneracy of the genetic code in two manners: having more than one tRNA (with a specific anti-codon) for a particular amino acid; and 'wobble' base-pairing, i.e. permitting non-standard base-pairing at the 3rd anti-codon position. The record is from RNAcentral. Lineage: Bacteria; Pseudomonadati; Candidatus Omnitrophota.